UGGGGGAUAUUGCACAAUGGGCGAAAGCCUGAUGCAGCGACGCCGCGUGGGGGAUGAAGGCUUUCGGGUUGUAAACCUCUUUCGCUAUCGAACAAGGCCCGCUUAGGGUGGGUUGAGGGUAGGUGGAGAAGAAGCGCCGGCUAACUACGUGCCAGCAGCCGCGGUAAUACGUAGGGCGCGAGCGUUGUCCGGAAUUACUGGGCGUAAAGCGCACGCAGGCGGUUUGUUAAGUCAGAUGUGAAAUCCCCGGGCUCAACCUGGGAACUGCAUCUGAUACUGGCAAGCUUGAGUCUCGUAGAGGGGGGUAGAAUUCCAGGUGUAGCGGUGAAAUGCGUAGAGAUCUGGAGGAAUACCGGUGGCGAAGGCGGCCCCCUGGACGAAGACUGACGCUCAGGUGCGAAAGCGUGGGGAGCAAACAGG
RNAcentral lists this ribosomal RNA (420 nucleotides) under Chloroflexota bacterium. RNAcentral describes it as "Chloroflexi bacterium partial 16S ribosomal RNA". It matches the Rfam family "Bacterial small subunit ribosomal RNA", at positions 355 to 776 of the family's 1533-position model. The record is from RNAcentral. Lineage: Bacteria; Bacillati; Chloroflexota.